RNAcentral lists this transfer RNA (64 nucleotides) under Eurynassa australis. Its description in RNAcentral is "tRNA-Glu". It matches the Rfam family "tRNA". From Rfam's summary of the family: Transfer RNA (tRNA) molecules are approximately 80 nucleotides in length. The record is from RNAcentral. Lineage: Eukaryota; Metazoa; Arthropoda; Insecta; Coleoptera; Cerambycidae.
GUUUGCAUAGUUUAAACAAAACAUUACAUUUUCAAUGUAAAAUUAGAAUUAGUUCUUGCGAAUU